UCUAAAAUGGCAGAUAGAUGUGUAGGGUUUAAGCUCCUAUAAGGGAGAUCCUUCUCCUUUUAGAA
RNAcentral lists this transfer RNA (65 nucleotides) under Mictyris longicarpus. Its description in RNAcentral is "tRNA-Leu". Lineage: Eukaryota; Metazoa; Arthropoda; Malacostraca; Decapoda; Mictyridae. The record is from RNAcentral.